UGGGGAAUAUUGGACAAUGGGGGCAACCCUGAUCCAGCAAUGCCGCGUGUGUGAAGAAGGUCUUCGGAUUGUAAAGCACUUUCGACGGGGACGAUGAUGACGGUACCCGUAGAAGAAGCCCCGGCUAACUUCGUGCCAGCAGCCGCGGUAAUACGAAGGGGGCUAGCGUUGCUCGGAAUGACUGGGCGUAAAGGGCGUGUAGGCGGUUUACACAGUCAGAUGUGAAAUCCCCGGGCUUAACCUGGGAGCUGCAUUUGAUACGUGUAGACUAGAGUGUGAGAGAGGGUUGUGGAAUUCCCAGUGUAGAGGUGAAAUUCGUAGAUAUUGGGAAGAACACCGGUGGCGAAGGCGGCAACCUGGCUCAUGACUGACGCUGAGGCGCGAAGGCGUGGGGAGCAAACAGGAUUAGAUACCCUGGUAGUCCACGCUGUAAACGAUGUGUGCUAGAUGUUGGGUAACUUUGUUAUUCAGUGUCGCAGUUAACGCGUUAAGCACACCGCCUGGGGAGUAC
RNAcentral lists this ribosomal RNA (511 nucleotides) under uncultured bacterium. RNAcentral's name for it is "partial 16S ribosomal RNA". It matches the Rfam family "Bacterial small subunit ribosomal RNA", at positions 355 to 883 of the family's 1533-position model. The record is from RNAcentral.